Long non-coding RNA from Gymnodraco acuticeps, 684 nucleotides. RefSeq lists it as uncharacterized. NCBI's taxonomy places the organism in Eukaryota, Metazoa, Chordata, Actinopteri, Perciformes, Bathydraconidae. The transcript has 2 exons. The record is from RefSeq and is a predicted model, not a curated record.
CAGCGCGGUGGACUGGGAGUUCUUCACGGUCGGAGAGGAGAAGUUUCUGAUCGUGGCGAACUCUCACGACGGCAGCUCGUACUCUCUGAACAGCGUCAUCUACAGGUGGCAGGGCUACGAGGGCUUCGUCCCGGCUCACAGUCUGCCCACCGUCGGCUGCAGAGACUGGGAGCACUUCAGCACCGAGGAGGGCUCCUUCCUGGUUUACUCCAGCGCCACCUCGCGCCUCAGCAAGGUGCUCAAACUCAGGACCUUCUGAGAGGAGACACUGAUGCACAACUGGUGCUAAACUGAAGAGAAUCUGGAGCAGGACUCCAGCGGCUUCUGCACUCUAAAUCUUCAGACCUUCCUCCCUCUCUCAGAUCGAGCUGAGAUGUCGCUCCGUCCUCUUCUGCAUUUAUCUGCAGCACUUUCUAAAAACAUGCUAUUGCAAAGUCUUGUUAAGCUCAGCUGAUAACGACAGCGCCCUCUAGUGUCUCAUAUCACACUGUAAACUGGAAGAAAUAUCAAACAUCUGUACUUUUUAAAUAAUGUUAAUAACUUAUAAGCUAUAACACAUGUUUUCCACCUGCUAUACAUAUAUAUAAUAUACAUAUAAUAUAUGACUGGUAUGUUUCUGUGAGAGGCGCUUCUCAAUAAACACGGUGUGCCUCGUCUCCUGGAGAGUUCACACUGAAUACUUAA